GACUACUCGGGUAUCUAAGCCGGUUUGCUCCCCACGCUUUCGUCCCUGAGUGUCAGCACAUUCCUAGUAUCCUGCCUUCGCUUUUGGCGUUCUAUCGUGGAUCAACGGAUUUUACCCCUACACACGACAUUCCAGAUACCUCUGAAUGGCUCAAUUCCCAUAGUUUCCGGCACGGAUGCGAAGUUAAGCUUCGCAUUUUGACACCAGACUUGCAGGAACACCUACGGACCCUUUACGCCCAGUAAUUCCGAGUAACGCUUGCACCUUCUGUCUUACCGCGGCUGCUGGCACAGAAUUAGCCGGUGCUUUCUCCUGAGGUACCGUCAAAAAUUUCGUCCCUCAGAACAGAAGUUUACGCCCAAAAGGGUUUCAUCCUUCACGCGGCGUCGCUCCGUCAGGCUUUCGCCCAUUGCGGAAGAUUCCUCACUGCAGCCUCCCGUAGG
This 443-nucleotide ribosomal RNA is filed under the name uncultured bacterium. RNAcentral's name for it is "partial 16S ribosomal RNA". The record is from RNAcentral.